This 1452-nucleotide ribosomal RNA is filed under the name Cononympha leidyi. RNAcentral's name for it is "SSU rRNA". It matches the Rfam family "Eukaryotic small subunit ribosomal RNA". Lineage: Eukaryota; Parabasalia; Holomastigotoidida; Holomastigotoididae. The record is from RNAcentral.
AAGUGUUAGUUCAGGCAACAAAACUGCGAACAGCUCAUUAAUACGCUCAGAACCUAUUGGGUGAAGUCCGAAAGGAUACAAAGGGAUAGCCGCAGCAAUUCUGGGGCUAAUACCAACUCGUAAGAGGCAACCACCGUAAGCGAAAGAAAGGUGGGUAGAAGACCGGGAGGCGAGCCCUAAGGUUGAGCGCCUUAUUAGCUAGUAGGUAGUGUCUUUGACUACCUGGGCGAUAAUGAGUAACGGGAAGUUUUCGUUUGACUUCCGGAGAAUGCGCCUGAGAGACAGCGGAUAUACCCACGGGUAGCAGCAGGCGCGAAACUUACCCACUCGCCAAGGGCGGAGGUGGUAAUGGCCAGUUCCAAUGUCUCGCAAGAGCUUAGGAAAGACUUACACAAAGCAAGUGUAGGAAAAGCAAGGAGAGGGCCAGCUCUGGUGCCAGCAGCUGCGGUAAUUCCAGCUCUCCAAGUUUGCUCCCACUGCUACACUUAAAACGCCCGUAGUCUGAAGAAGGAGCACGCAAGUGCGCUCACGGUGAAUAAAUCAGAACGCUUAGAGUAAGUGACCAACUGAUUGACUGAGCACCGCCUGAGGUUUUUACCCGUCAGGGUAAGCUCAAUGGGAGCCACCGAGGCCAGGUCUAUUCCGUGGCGAGCGGCGGAAUGUGUUGACCCACGGGAGAGAAGCGGAGGCGAAAGCGCCUGGCAAGGGGGUUUCCGUCGAUCAAGGGCGAGAGUCGCAGGAUCCAACCGGAUUAGACACCCGGGUAGUUGCGACCUUAAACGAUGCCGACAGCGCCGAAUCCGUUAGGGUUGGGUGACAGGAGAAAUCUCUAGUCUUUGGGCUGUGGGGGAACUACGACCGCAAGGCUGAAACUUGAAGGAAUUGACGGAAGGGCACACCAGGGGUGGAUACUGUGGCUCAAUCUGACUCAACGCGGAGAAACUUACCAGGACCAGAUAUUUCUAAUGACUGACCAGCUAACUACUGCUCAGGAUAAGAUUUUUGGUGGUGCAUGGCCGUUGGUGGUGCGUGGGUUGACCUGUCAGUUGUCGAUUCGGGUAACGAGCGAGACUACCGCCGAGUAGAGCAAGUCCUUGCUGCAGAGCAGAGACGAGCACUAACCGGGACUCCCUGCGUGGAAGCAGGAGGAAGAGGGUAGCAAUAACAGGUCCGUGAUGUCCUUUAGAUGCUCUGGGCCGCACGCGUUCUACACUGCUAAGAGGAAAGGGUGGCGAAGCCGAGAGGCGGAGCAACGCGAGGAGAUCCUAGCGUAGUCGGGAUUGACGUUUGACAUCAGCGUCAUGAACCAGGAAUCCCUUGUAAGCGUGUAUCAACAUUGCACGCUGAAUACGUCCCUGCCCUUUGUACACACCGCCCGUCGCUCCUACCGAUUGGGUGAGUCGGUGAACGCGCUGGAGUUUAACCGCGAAGGCGUGUGAACCUGCUGAUUUA